GCCCCAUUAGCUCAUCUGGUAGAGCAACUGAUUUGUAAUCAGUAGGUGGUCUGUUCGAGUCGGACAUGGGGCA
RNAcentral lists this transfer RNA (73 nucleotides) under Polynucleobacter kasalickyi. RNAcentral describes it as "Polynucleobacter sp. VK13 tRNA". It matches the Rfam family "tRNA". Rfam says of the family: Transfer RNA (tRNA) molecules are approximately 80 nucleotides in length. Their secondary structure includes four short double-helical elements and three loops (D, anti-codon, and T loops). Further hydrogen bonds mediate the characteristic L-shaped molecular structure. tRNAs have two regions of fundamental functional importance: the anti-codon, which is responsible for specific mRNA codon recognition, and the 3' end, to which the tRNAs corresponding amino acid is attached (by aminoacyl-tRNA synthetases). tRNAs cope with the degeneracy of the genetic code in two manners: having more than one tRNA (with a specific anti-codon) for a particular amino acid; and 'wobble' base-pairing, i.e. permitting non-standard base-pairing at the 3rd anti-codon position. The record is from Rfam by way of RNAcentral. RNAcentral also lists the same sequence under 1 other name. Lineage: Bacteria; Pseudomonadati; Pseudomonadota; Betaproteobacteria; Burkholderiales; Burkholderiaceae.